This is an RNA transcript of Propithecus coquereli (Coquerel's sifaka), 763 nucleotides long. It is a transcript of the gene named probable ATP-dependent RNA helicase DDX4 pseudogene, with no coding region annotated. The transcript has a single exon. NCBI's taxonomy places the organism in Eukaryota, Metazoa, Chordata, Mammalia, Primates, Indriidae. The record is from RefSeq and is a predicted model, not a curated record.
AAAGCUGGUUAUACUAAGCUUAUUCCUGUGCAAAAAUAUAGUAUCCCUAUUAUAUUAGCAGGACGAGAUUUGAUGCCUUGUGCUCAAACAGGGUCUGGGAAGACUGUAGCUUUUCUCUUGCCAAUUUUGGCUCAUAUGAUGCGUGAUGGAAUAACGGCCAGUCGUUUUAAAGAGCUGCAGGAACCAGAGUGUAUUAUUGUAGCACCAACUCGAGAAUUAAUCAACGAGAUUUAUCUGGAAGCCAGAAAAUUUUCUUUUGGGACUUAUGUAAGAGCUGUUGUUAUAUAUGGGGAAAUCCAGUUGGGGCAUUCAAUUCGACAAAUAGUACAAGGCUGUAAUACAUUAUGUGCUACUCCUGGAAGAUUGAUGGACAUCAUAGGCAAAGAAAAGAUUGGUCUGAGACAAAUCAAAUAUUUAGUUUUGGAUGAAGCUGAUCGCAUGUUGGAUAUGGGUUUUGGACCACAAAUGAAGAAAUUAAUUUCUUGCCCAGGAAUGCCAUCAAAGGAAGAGUGUCAAACCCUUAUGUUCAGUGCAACUUUUCCAGAAGAAAUUCAAAGGUUGUCUGGGGAGUUUUUAAAGUCGAAUUAUUUGUUUGUUGCUGUUGGACAAGUGGGUGGAGCAUGUUGAGAUGUUCGGCAGACUAUUCUUCAAGUUGGCCAGUACUCAAAAAGAGAAAAACUUGUCGAAAUUCUACGAAACACAGGUGAUGAAAGAACUAUGGUCUUUGUUGAAACUAAGAAAAAAGCAGACUUUAUUGCAACUU